Ictalurus punctatus (channel catfish) is the source of this 1567-nucleotide long non-coding RNA. NCBI's taxonomy places the organism in Eukaryota, Metazoa, Chordata, Actinopteri, Siluriformes, Ictaluridae. The record is from Ensembl.
UCAGACACAGGGGGUAUAUUAAUCAUACACAGGGGGUAUAUUAAUCAGAUACAGGGGGUAUAUUAAUCAGACACAGGGGGUAUAUUAAUCAUACACAGGGGGUAUAUUAAUCAGAUACAGGGGGUAUAUUAAUCAGACACAGGGGGUAUAUUAAUCAGAUACAGGGGGUAUAUUAAUCAGAUACAGGGGGUAUAUUAAUCAGACACAGGGGGUAUAUUAAUCAAACACAGGGGGUAUAUUAAUCAGACACAGGGGUAUAUUAAUCAGAUACAGGGGGUAUAUUAAUCAGACACAGGGGGUAUAUUAAUCAGACACAGGGGGUAUAUUAAUCAGACACAGGGGGUAUAUUAAUCAGACACAGAGGUCUCUUUCAGCAGGAUAAGGCUCCCUGACACACUGCAGAAACUGUUCAGGAACGGUUUGAGGAACAUGAUAAAGAGUCGGCCUCCGAAUUCCCCAAUUUAAUCCGAUCUAGCGUCUGUGAGACGUUCUGGACAAACAAGUCUGAUCCACAGAGGCCCCACCUCACAACUUACAGGACUUAAAGGAUCAGCUGUAACGUGUUGGUGUCAGAUCUCACGGCGCACCUUCAGAGCUCUCGUGGAGUCCACGCCUCCACGGGUCCGAGCUGAUCUAAUGAGGACCUGCAGUAUUCGGCGGGUGGUUUUAAUGUUAUGGCUGAUACGUGUGUAUGAAGUAACGUUAUAAUAAUUAAACAUCACGCAGCUCAGUACAUUACAGAGAUAUAACCUCACAGUUUAACACGAUAAUGAAGGGGAAAAGCUGCGCACGCUCACACGUCCAAAUUAUUAGGAACAAGCUCACCUUUUACAUUUCCUACAGUUCCAACCUGCGCCUGUGUUUUCAGCAGAACUGAGCGGGUUCUCCAGGGAACCCGGUGCUAAAGGAUGUAGAGCCAUGUUCCAUACAAACCCGCACACAGACACAAACCUGACUCUCAGCUCACUGCGUACCGGGAACCGUCUCACUGCUGCACACAGUGUCCAGCAAAACUCUGUGUGUGUGUGUGUGUGUGAGAGAGUGUUUCUGUAGGUGUGUGUGUGCGCGUGUGUGUGUUUCUGUAGGUGUGUGUGUGCGCGUGUGUGUAUUUCUGUAGGUGCGUGUGUGUGUGUAUGCGCGUGUGUGUGUGUUUCUGUGUGUGUGUUUCUGUAGGUGUGUGCGUGUGAGUGUGUGUGUGCGCGUGUGUGUGUUUCUGUAGGUGUGUGUGUGUGUGUGUGUGUUUCUGUAGGUGUAGGUGUGUGUGUGUGUAUGCGCAUGUGUGUGUGUUUCUGUAGGUGUAGGUGUGUGUGUGUGUGUGUGUGUGUGUGUGUGUGUGUGUGUAUGUGUGUGUGUGUGUUUCUGUAGGUGUGUGUGUGUGUUUCUGUAGGUGUGUGUGUGCGUGCGCGUGAGUGUGUGUGCGCGCGCGUGUGUGUUUCUGUAGGUGUAGGUGUGUGUGUAUGCGCGUGUGUGUGUGUGUGUGUGUGCGUGUGUGUGUGUGUGUGUGUGUGUGUUUCUGUAGGUGUAGGUGUGUGUGUGUAUGCGCGCGUGUGUGUGUGUGUGUGUGUGU